RNAcentral lists this ribosomal RNA (460 nucleotides) under uncultured bacterium. RNAcentral's name for it is "partial 16S ribosomal RNA". It matches the Rfam family "Bacterial small subunit ribosomal RNA", at positions 338 to 795 of the family's 1533-position model. The record is from RNAcentral.
CCUACGGGUGGCAGCAGUGAGGAAUAUUGGUCAAUGGGCGAGAGCCUGAACCAGCCAAGUCGCGUGAGGGUAGACGGUCCUACGGAUUGUAAACCUCUUUUGUCAGGGAGCAAGGAGCGCCACGAGUGGUGCGGCGAGAGUACCUGAAGAAAAAGCAUCGGCUAACUCCGUGCCAGCAGCCGCGGUAAUACGGAGGAGGCGAGGUUUAUCCGGAUUUAUUGGGUUGAAAGGGAGCGUAGGCCGCAUGUCAAGCGUGCUGUGAAAUGUCCGGGCUCAACGCGGGCCUUGCAGCGCGAACUGGCGUGCUUGAGUCCGCGGAAAGCAGGCGGAAUUCGUCGUGUAGCGGUGAAAUGCUUAGAUAUGACGAAGAACCCCGAGUGCGAAGGCAGCCUGCCGGGGUGCGACUGACGCUGAGGCUCGAAGGUGCGGGUAUCAAACAGGAUUAGAUACCCGUGUAGUC